Molecule: long non-coding RNA, 642 nt
Organism: Nerophis ophidion (straightnose pipefish)
Lineage: Eukaryota; Metazoa; Chordata; Actinopteri; Syngnathiformes; Syngnathidae
Exons: 5
Source: RefSeq, a predicted model, not a curated record
CACCAGCCACGGCUGCCUGGCUCCCCCCGUCUUCGUGGAAGAGAGCAAAGGCAGAUAAGAUGUGACAGGAUGAUAACAACACACUGCCUGGGAAGCCAGGCGGGUUCUUCACUGCUCGGUAUGGAAGACCGGAGCUCACCGGAGAUAGUCGGAAGGAGUGCAUCCAAACCCCAACUGAACCGCUUCUUCUGUGAAAUCAGAAUGAUUCAAAGAAUCGCUGGAAAUUGCACUCCACCUACUUGCUCCCACGCAUUUUGUUUUUAGAAGUCUCUGUGUCUCUGUCAGGCUUGGGCUGUGGAUGUUUGUGCUUCCUCGAUGCAAGGAUGAUGUGGGACGAGUCAGGCAUGAAUAAACACCUGAAAGUUGGUGUGACAAACGCAAUUCGUCGUCUUGCGGGUUCCAGGGACCACCAAGGAAGGACAUGGCUUUGAGCAGGGCACCUUGUGGCGACCCAUCAGCGUUCCUCUUCUGUACACUGUUUGUUCGUCUAAUCUUGACUUGAGCAAGUCAGCGCCCAGACAGAGCAGCAUUAGCACAGCUGUGUUUGUUUGGUCAUAAUGGCAAUUUGUGAGCAAUCAGGACAACACUGUUGAAUUUCACUGGAUUGUGUUAAUGCUACCUAAUAAAGUAGUGUUAAUAUUG